UACGAAGGGGGCGAGCGUUGUUCGGAUUUACUGGGCGUAAAGGGCGCGUAGGCGGCCAGCACAAGUCAGUUGUGAAAUCUCCGGGCUUAACUCGGAAAGGUCAACUGAUACUGUGCGACUAGAGUGCGGAAGGGGCAACUGGAAUUCUCGGUGUAGCGGUGAAAUGCGUAGAUAUCGAGAGGAACACCUGCGGCGAAGGCGGGUUGCUGGGCCGACACUGACGCUGAUGCGCGAAAGCCAGGGGAGCGAACGGG
This 254-nucleotide ribosomal RNA is filed under the name uncultured bacterium. Its description in RNAcentral is "partial 16S ribosomal RNA". It matches the Rfam family "Bacterial small subunit ribosomal RNA", at positions 524 to 776 of the family's 1533-position model. The record is from RNAcentral.